UGUGUUUUUUAUUAAAAUUUUAAACAUUUUAAAUUUGCAUAGAACGUGUGCGUUGUUGUGAAUUUUAAUUUUUCCCUGGCUCCCUAAUUGCUACAGAAGAUUUCGUGAACUCGAUGGACUCGCAGUGCGCAUAAUGUUUAUCCAAAAUCAAUCUCUAAAUCGGAUAUAAAUGAGGGAUUUAAAUUGGAUUUAAACUUCCCCAGUUAUCAAUCGUAUUAAUGUUGUGAACUUUGAUUUAGACUGUGACAAAAAUCUGGUCUCCUGUGCAAAUUCAGAUCCAAUUUGGGCUAGCUACUUUCCGAAUAAGGUAUUUUUGGUGCAGUCACAAUUUCGGCGAGCUCCCCAAAGCGAAAGUAUAUCACUGACGGUUCUGAGUCUAUUACCUAAACAUUAAAGUAAAUUCUUUUGAGGAUUCGAGGAUGUUUGUAUCUCUAGAAACAGGAUAUUUCUUAAAAUGUGAUGUUAACAUAGAAGCUUGUUAGAUUUAACAAAUAUUGAAACGGUUAACAAUUCCAUUAGGGCAUCUAUAUUGAGCAAAUAUUCGGUUUAAAAAUUUCCAAUUGUGAUUGUUUCUAACUGUAUUGGCAUUUACACACAACUAGAGCCCAAAUAAAAUUGUAUUCCCAUUGCA
Molecule: long non-coding RNA, 631 nt
Organism: Musca domestica (house fly)
Lineage: Eukaryota; Metazoa; Arthropoda; Insecta; Diptera; Muscidae
Exons: 2
Source: RefSeq, a predicted model, not a curated record